AACGGACCCCUCGCGUGGCGUUAUCGCUCCGAACUCCCCCAGGGCCGGAAGGCAGCAAGGGUAAGAGCGCUCUGACGGGUGCGCGAGGGGUUCUCUUGC
This 99-nucleotide signal recognition particle RNA is filed under the name Cellulomonadaceae bacterium. RNAcentral's name for it is "signal recognition particle sRNA small type". It matches the Rfam family "Bacterial small signal recognition particle RNA". Rfam says of the family: The signal recognition particle (SRP) is a universally conserved ribonucleoprotein involved in the co-translational targeting of proteins to membranes. The record is from RNAcentral. Lineage: Bacteria; Bacillati; Actinomycetota; Actinomycetes; Micrococcales; Cellulomonadaceae.